This 756-nucleotide long non-coding RNA is filed under the name Malus domestica (apple). RNAcentral's name for it is "long non-coding RNA (MDOM_LNC011666)". Lineage: Eukaryota; Viridiplantae; Streptophyta; Magnoliopsida; Rosales; Rosaceae. The record is from RNAcentral.
AAAAAUUCAACAUGGUAUCAGAGCAGGAACUCGAAAUUCCUGGCUCUGUUGAUCAUUUCCGCUAAGUUUCUUUUACUCUAAGCCAAGAUGGCUGGAGAACUUUUACUCUAAGCCAAGAUGGCUGGAGAACAUUUACUCUAAGCCAAGAUGGCUAGAGAACAUUUACUCUAAGCCAAGAUGGCUGGAGAACAUUUACUCAUUUACUCUAAGCCAAGAUGGCUAGAGAACAUUUACUCUAAGCCAAGAUGGCUGGAGAACAUUUACUCUAAGCCAAGAUGGCUGGAGAACAUUAUGAAGCUGAGAGCUCGAUGGAUGCUUUAGCUCUACCUAACGUUGUUCAAGUUUGCGGCACGAAGCCAUUUCAAGUUUGUUUGUUUGCGGCACGAAGCCAUUACUGUUUGUUUGCGGCACGAAGCCAUUUCAAGUGGGAAUUUGGUAACAUGGCGCAGCAAGAAGCAAAGCGUUAUUUUUACUAAACCUCUUCCUACGGUUCAGUUCAUGCGCAUUCUGUCCAAGCUUGGCUCAAGGAAUCCCCUCAAUCCAGCUUGAGGGGGAGUGUUGGAAUGCAUGCAAGUCAUAUCUUUUGUUAAAAUGCAUGCAUGAAAUAAACAUGUUGGAUGACUAGUGAAGUUAGGCUAGUCAACCUUCUUUGUGUAAAUUAGGCAAGUUAGGAAAUUAGGCAAGUUAGGCAAGUUAGGAAAUUAGGCAAGUUAGGCAAGUUAGACUUAUGUUCUCUUUCUUUUCCUAUAUAAUGUA